UAUUGACGCUGCACUCAAUCA
RNAcentral lists this microRNA (21 nucleotides) under Glycine max (soybean). RNAcentral describes it as "gma-miR397b-3p". Its record names the gene gma-miR397b-3p. Lineage: Eukaryota; Viridiplantae; Streptophyta; Magnoliopsida; Fabales; Fabaceae. The record is from miRBase by way of RNAcentral.